This 1553-nucleotide long non-coding RNA is filed under the name Mustela putorius furo (domestic ferret). RNAcentral describes it as "lncRNA (ENSMPUG00000026768.1)". Lineage: Eukaryota; Metazoa; Chordata; Mammalia; Carnivora; Mustelidae. The record is from RNAcentral.
CCCGGUCUUCCUAAGAUCUUCUCAAUGACGAGAGGGAUCCUUCUGUGGAAAGCCCUCUGUGGCUUCUCAGCUCAUCCAGAGAGGAUCCACCCCAGGGGCCAAAGAAUUGUCAACGUGCACCCGAUGCCUCCGACUACCAAGCUUUUGGCGAUCCUCUCCAGCGGCGGUUCCUGUUUCCAGUGUUCGGUUGAAGUUUCUCGGCUCUGCGGUGCCAGGUACCGCUCCUGGUAUUUUGCUGUAAUUUCUCCUGAGCUGUUGUGUCCUCUCCCUUUGUCCUUGUAGAUUAAUACCUUGAUUUCAUUCUUUUACACGCAGUGGUAUUGUAAGCAGUGCAAUCUGUGCGACAGAGGGCUUCUGAAAGAACCUUGAACUUCUCCAACACGAAGCACUCGGGUGGUGGCUCUUGAGCUAAUCUCUGUGUGCCAAAGCGGCCGCCCCUGCAAGUCUGCGUCUUCAGCUCUGACAGCUCUCACAUGUGGACCCUGCAGGCAGCGAGCGGCAGGCAAGUGACCCGUUUGAGAAGGUCAGCUGGUGGGUAGGUGGGAAGCCUAAUUAAUGGGUACCAUACAGGUAGUGCCCAAAUCAUUCCUUUUGUAUGAAGGAGGAAUGCCAGCGUCAAAGGUAAGGGGCCCUUUGGCCAUCCCCCAGCAAUUUUUAUUCUCUCCCCAAAAGUUCUUAACAUUGCACAGCUUACACAGUAUAUCUUUAGUCUUUCUUCUGUGCUUUCGUGUCUAGAAAACUAGGAAGACCCGGCCGGGUUUAUUAAGGGAUUGGAGGGGAGAGUACAGGAAUGAUGAGGCCGUUCCGCACCGUGCUUUCGUCGCUCCCGGUGAUGCCUGCAGAUUCACCUCGACCUCUGCAAAGUAGUUCAUCCAAUAUAUGAGGUGUCCAGUUGUUUACAAUUUAUAUUGUUUACAUAUCAUGGUUGAUGUAGCCAUUUCCCUGUUAACAGGCAUUUACCCUUGUACCAUUGUGAUUAAACGUGGCUGUCUGUAACCGAGAAAGCCGAAGUAGCAGCAGUUCGACUAGGAUAUUCUCUGUUCACUUACAGAAAGUCUAGAAGGUGGUGGUCUGGGCCAGCCUGGUGGCUUCUAGCUCUUGGUAACCCGCUCGCGGUCGAAGUUGGGUGCCGCAGUCUUCGGGAGCACCUCCUCUCUCCCACGACCGGGAGGUCUGGCAUUGACUCUGACUCUUUAGGUGUUGAUCACAGGACAGUUUGGGGUGUGGUGGGGUGGGGGGAGAAGGUUAAAGCGGCCUGGGCAGUGGAAGUCAAGGACACUUGCAGGACGUGAGGUGGAGGCUGUCCGCCAACCGAAUGGGAAACAGUUCAGUAUCUCAGUAGCUGGUGGAGCCCGCCUGUGUGUACCCUUACUGUGUGCCCGUGCUGUUGCUCUGAGUACGUCCCCAGGGUCAUAGGAUGUGUGCUUUCAAUUUGGAUAGCUCUUCCCAAAUCGGCUCCUCUGAUCGUACCCUCCCAAGCUCAUCAACUCUACGUAUUAAGAGAUUGUUUCGUUUUUUGUUUGUUUGUUUGUUUGUUUGUUUUUAAAGAUUUU